Molecule: ribosomal RNA, 417 nt
Filed under: Lacticaseibacillus rhamnosus
Lineage: Bacteria; Bacillati; Bacillota; Bacilli; Lactobacillales; Lactobacillaceae
Description: bacterial SSU rRNA
Rfam family: Bacterial small subunit ribosomal RNA
Source: RNAcentral
GAGCAGUCUGAUGGAGCACGCCGCGUGAGUGAAGAAGGCUUUCGGGUCGUAAAACUCUGUUGUUGGAGAAGAAUGGUCGGCAGAGUAACUGUUGUCGGCGUGACGGUAUCCAACCAGAAAGCCACGGCUAACUACGUGCCAGCAGCCGCGGUAAUACGUAGGUGGCAAGCGUUAUCCGGAUUUAUUGGGCGUAAAGCGAGCGCAGGCGGUUUUUUAAGUCUGAUGUGAAAGCCCUCGGCUUAACCGAGGAAGUGCAUCGGAAACUGGGAAACUUGAGUGCAGAAGAGGACAGUGGAACUCCAUGUGUAGCGGUGAAAUGCGUAGAUAUAUGGAAGAACACCAGUGGCGAAGGCGGCUGUCUGGUCUGUAACUGACGCUGAGGCUCGAAAGCAUGGGUAGCGAACAGGAUUAGAUACC